Frankliniella occidentalis (western flower thrips) is the source of this 499-nucleotide long non-coding RNA. RefSeq lists it as uncharacterized. Lineage: Eukaryota; Metazoa; Arthropoda; Insecta; Thysanoptera; Thripidae. The record is from RefSeq and is a predicted model, not a curated record. The transcript is spliced from 3 exons.
GCCCCGGGGCCAACGCCGGUGCCGCCGCCCCCGGCACGGCAGCAGCCGCCCCCGCCGCGGCCCCCGCCGCCCCCGGCAAUGACGAGGAGCUGCAGCGGCUGCGCCGCCGCGAAGCCGAGCUGGAGCAGCGCGUCAAGGAGCUGGAGGAGGCCGCGGCCGUGCUGGCCAAGCAGGGGCCCGUCCCCCCACCGGCAGCAGUGGCGGUGGCAGCGCCCUCCAAGGACCUCGAGGAGACCAUCGCCAAGCUGGAGAGGGAGCUGCAGCUCCGCACAGAGGAACGCGAGAACUACAAAAACCACCUGCAGCAGCUCGAGAAGGAGCUGGCGACCGCCAAGCAGGCCCUGAAGGACGCUGACGCCAAACGUGUCGAUCUCGCCGCUCAGCUGGCCACUGCCAACGACAAGAAGAAGGAAAGAGAGGAGCUGACGGCCAAGCAGGAGCAGCAGAUCGCGGCCCUUCAGAACCAGGUAAGCAUCUUCCACAUAGAUAAGAUCAUUUA